Molecule: ribosomal RNA, 247 nt
Filed under: uncultured Actinomycetes bacterium
Lineage: Bacteria; Bacillati; Actinomycetota; Actinomycetes
Description: uncultured actinobacterium partial 16S ribosomal RNA
Rfam family: Bacterial small subunit ribosomal RNA
Source: RNAcentral
GACGAACGCUGGCGGCGUGCUUAACACAUGCAAGUCGAGCGGUAAGGCCCUUUCGGGGGUACACGAGCGGCGAACGGGUGAGUAACACGUGGGUGACCUGCCCUUAGCUCUGGGAUAAGCCUGGGAAACUGGGUCUAAUACCGGAUAUGACUCCAUGACUCAUGUUGUGGGGUGGAAAGCCUUGUGCGGCUAGGGAUGGGCCCGCGGCCUAUCAGCUUGUUGGUGGGGUAAUUGCCUACCAAGGCGA